AUUUAAGCAGCUAAAUUUACUCCAUCAAAUGUGACCUUGACUUAAGCUCCCAACAAACAUGCCCUUAAUUACCACCUCCCAAAAAUGGUGACUAUCCAUCUUCAAACGAAUCUCCACCCAAUUUGUCUCUCUCUAGAAUCAUCCCCCAAUAGCCUCUCUCUAGAAUCACCAACCCAAAAACUCCCAAAACAUAAAGGAAGAAUUGGUCUUCUUCAGAUCUUUUGCAUCAUAUAUUCCAUCACUAUCUCACAAAUCUACCAUUACGUUCGAGUAAUGUAUCGACUAAAUCAAAAGGUUCAGGCACCAAUCACAACGGGCUUGCACACCAAUUCCAAAUGUAUUGACGUGAACACCCAUGUGAAGGACAAUGGAAAAAGGCCAUUGAAGAUGUAGCUCCAGACCCAAGCACAAAAAAGAAAAAGAUCGCGACACCACACAGGUUAGGCACAUUUCAAUUUAACAAAAUCAGGAAUUGUACGGUAUGUUCAUUUUUUGUUGAAAAUGAAAUUAUAUCAAUUUUAUAUUUGAGAUAACUAACCCCAUUGUGUAUAUUUUUCACUUGCAAAACAUACAAAAAAUUUAACAUGUCUUUGGAAUUACAAAAACUAGAAAAGACGAUUUCCAUUAACAAACUGCAGAAGUUGGGGGAAUUGUAGAAAAUUGUAUGUUGUUUUAAUUACCGAAUGUAAUUAGACACGAUUAAGG
This 705-nucleotide long non-coding RNA is filed under the name Olea europaea subsp. europaea. The record is from RNAcentral. Lineage: Eukaryota; Viridiplantae; Streptophyta; Magnoliopsida; Lamiales; Oleaceae.